Molecule: ribosomal RNA, 117 nt
Filed under: Enterocloster sp.
Lineage: Bacteria; Bacillati; Bacillota; Clostridia; Lachnospirales; Lachnospiraceae
Description: partial 16S ribosomal RNA
Rfam family: Bacterial small subunit ribosomal RNA
Source: RNAcentral
UAACAUGAGAGUUUGAUCCUGGCUCAGGAUGAACGCUGGCGGCGUGCUUAACACAUGCAAGUCGAGCGAAGCGAUUUAAAUGAGACUUCGGUGGAUUUUAAAUUGACUGAGCGGCGG